AAUUAGUUUUUAUGUAUCCCUUAAAAAAUGUCCCUUAAUAAGGGUUUUACUGUACUAUCAUUGUGAAAGUACACAUUUUUCUGCCUUAUUUUCAAGCAUGUGUACAACAUCUCAGUGUAACUCACGGACAUGUUUCGGCGUUAUAAUAUGAUAUAUAAAAGAACGAUCGUACGUAAAUAUGAAAAUUUAAACCAUUUGUUUUAGAUUUUUCCUAUUAACUCUUUAGAACCGGCAUCGUGAUACCGAAAAGGAGCAUGCGCAUUGCUUAUGGUUACGAAAUAUGUUUGACAAAUCAGAGCCAAGAUGCGCAGGAUAAACAAGAAAGUAGUCGUUUCAGAAGUCUGUUCCUACGUGGACUGAAAUGUACUUGAAACUACGUAUCGCUUCGUGAUGCGAUAAUUAUAAAUUACUAUGAUUGCUCAAAUCAAAAAUAAUAUACCACAUUUAACACAAAAUCAUUGUGCACUUUUUCGAACUAUCCAAUGUACUAACGCUAAAGUUUAUAGCGCAAAUUUAAAAAUCUGUGAAAAUAUAACCUAGUUAACCUGAGAAGAAAACACACAAAUGUCAACAUUAUGCUCAGUGGACGUACUGAAAAUGUGAUCUCAUCGGCAAAAUAGUAUUUGUCAUAUUCACCCAAACCAGAUGCAAAAGUAAAUCCGUGUUUCCCAUUGUCCAAAGCAGCUAAACAUGUUUCCAAAACUUUUCUUGUAGGAUUGCCACUUCUACUAUAAUCAAAACCCUGAAAGGUCCAUCUUGACGAUAAGUAGUGGACAUUGAAAUAGGAGGUAUUAUUGCACAAUGAUUCCAUUGUAAUGGAUCUUGUCCAGCAUGUAUGGCU
Megachile rotundata (alfalfa leafcutting bee) is the source of this 841-nucleotide long non-coding RNA. The record is from RefSeq and is a predicted model, not a curated record. Lineage: Eukaryota; Metazoa; Arthropoda; Insecta; Hymenoptera; Megachilidae.